RNAcentral lists this ribosomal RNA (252 nucleotides) under uncultured bacterium. RNAcentral's name for it is "partial 16S ribosomal RNA". It matches the Rfam family "Bacterial small subunit ribosomal RNA", at positions 525 to 776 of the family's 1533-position model. The record is from RNAcentral.
ACGGAGGAUCCAAGCGUUAUCCGGAUUUAUUGGGUUUAAAGGGUCCGCAGGCGGAUUAUUAAGUCAGUGGUGAAAUCCUACAGCUUAACUGUAGAACUGCCAUUGAUACUGGUAAUCUUGAGUAUAGUUGAGGUGGGCGGAAUGUGUCAUGUAGCGGUGAAAUGCAUAGAUAUGACACAGAACACCGAUUGCGAAGGCAGCUCACUAAGCUAUUACUGACGCUCAUGGACGAAAGCGUGGGGAGCAAACAGG